This 468-nucleotide ribosomal RNA is filed under the name uncultured bacterium. RNAcentral's name for it is "partial 16S ribosomal RNA". It matches the Rfam family "Bacterial small subunit ribosomal RNA", at positions 28 to 507 of the family's 1533-position model. The record is from RNAcentral.
GACGAACGCUGGCGGCGUGCUUAACACAUGCAAGUCGAACGGAAAGGCCCUGCUUUUGUGGGGUUCUCGAGUGGCGAACGGGUGAGUAACACGUGAGUAACCUGCCCUUGACUUUGGGAUAACUUCAGGAAACUGGGGCUAAUACCGGAUAGGAGCUCCUGCUGCAUGGUGGGGGUUGGAAAGUUUCGGCGGGUGGGGAUGGACUCGCGGCUUAUCAGCUUGUUGGUGGGGGAGUGGCUUACCAAGGCUGUGACGGGUAGCCGGCCUGAGAGGGUGACCGGCGACCUGAGGCCUACGAGACGGCCCAGACUGCAACGGGAGGCAGCGGUGGGGAGUCUUGCACAGUGGGCGCAAGCGGGAUGCAGAGGCGCCGCGUGCGGAAUGACGGCCUUCGGGUUGAGAAAAGCUUUAGCCUGUGACGAAGCGUGAGUGACGGUACUGGGUAAAGAAGCACCGGCUAACUACGUG